CCGCACGCGCGCUACACUGACAGAGCCAGCGAGUACUCCCUUGGCCGAAAGGCCCGGGUAAUCUUGUUAAACUCUGUCGUGCUGGGGAUAGAGCAUUGCAAUUAUUGCUCUUCAACGAGGAAUCCCUAGUAAGCGCAAGUCAUCAGCUUGCGUUGAUUACGU
Molecule: ribosomal RNA, 162 nt
Filed under: uncultured eukaryote
Lineage: Eukaryota
Description: partial 18S ribosomal RNA
Rfam family: Eukaryotic small subunit ribosomal RNA
Source: RNAcentral